GAUUGCAGUCUGCAACUCGACUGCAUGAAGUCGGAAUCGCUAGUAAUCNCGGAUCAGCAUGCCGCGGUGAAUACGUUCCCGGGCCUUGUACACACCGCCCGUCACACCAUGAGAGUCGGGAACACCCGAAGUCCGUAGCCUAACCGGAAGGGGGCGCGGCCGAAGGUGGGUUCGAUAAUUGGGGUGAAGUCGUAACAAGGUAGC
Molecule: ribosomal RNA, 204 nt
Filed under: uncultured bacterium
Lineage: Bacteria
Description: partial 16S ribosomal RNA
Rfam family: Bacterial small subunit ribosomal RNA
Source: RNAcentral